UGUCCCACAGGUGAAGACGGACUCGGUCGUGUCCUGCGUCCUCGACGCCGAAGCGGUCGCCUGGGACCGAGAGAAGAAGCAGAUCCAGCCGUUCCAGGUUCUCACCACCAGGAAGAGAAAGACUGAGGGCCUUUUUCUGCCACACUGCUGACACUGGGCUAAAAGUGUUUCUGUCUUUGUGCCGACACGGUGACAACGGAGGAAAUGAGGAAGAAAUAAAAAAAAAA
Molecule: long non-coding RNA, 227 nt
Organism: Cynoglossus semilaevis (tongue sole)
Lineage: Eukaryota; Metazoa; Chordata; Actinopteri; Pleuronectiformes; Cynoglossidae
Exons: 2
Source: RefSeq, a predicted model, not a curated record